RNAcentral lists this small nucleolar RNA (78 nucleotides) under Komagataella phaffii GS115. Lineage: Eukaryota; Fungi; Ascomycota; Pichiomycetes; Pichiales; Pichiaceae. The record is from RNAcentral.
AUGAUGAAUCGUUUUCACAAACUUGAUUUCCUGUGAACUCACCAUGUACUAAGGAAAAAAACAUGCAUCACCAUCUGA